Long non-coding RNA from Leptinotarsa decemlineata (Colorado potato beetle), 1008 nucleotides. RefSeq lists it as uncharacterized. The record is from RefSeq and is a predicted model, not a curated record. Lineage: Eukaryota; Metazoa; Arthropoda; Insecta; Coleoptera; Chrysomelidae.
CAAAACAAAGCUAUAGUAUUGACACAGAUACAGAUUAAAUAUGUAUGGUAUCGAGAAGAAAUGUGUAAUUAUUAUUUGUAGUUAAAAAAACUUCAGAUUUCACUGCUUACAUAAUGAAAUAUUGUGUUCUGGACAUAUAACAUCUAUAUCUUGUGUACAUGAGAUAGAGACAUCCAACAUGGGGGUGAAUGGAGAAAAUUGUGGAAAAUGAGGUUAGGAUCAUUGGAGAGGAGGCCAAUGUUGAAGCCGACGAAGAUGCUGAUGUCUUAGAGCACGAGAAGAUCAGGAAAGGAGUUAUCGCAAAUGAUGAGGGCGACCUGAAUGAUGAAAGUAUUGUGGGUGAUUCAUCUGAAGAUGAUGGUGCCUUAAUAAUCAGCCUAUGAUGGCUCAUUGUUACCUACACAUUGGAAAAUCAAAUGGAUCUGUAUUGUGUGACAGAUACGCAUGUACGAAUCAGAACAAUCGAUAGCGUUAUUCAAAAGUUUUGUUGGUGCUGCUUGUGGUUUUACUUACUUUGGAAUAACGGUGGGUGGUAUCAACAUAUAAACACCCAUGACACAUUCUCUAUAGUACAAAUGGGUCAAAAUUGGUGUGAGACGUGCGAGAGACAUCUCAUAGAUUUCACACGAAUCUCAACUUGCAUAAUAUGCAAUAGUGUUUAUCACAUUUCUUGACCCGCAGGGAUUUUACAGCUUGUAUGUGAUUACUAGGUCGCUUCGCUCCCUCAAAACAUUUCACCCUUGUUAUCAAGUAAGCCAACGUAGGUAAAUAUUUAGUCUUAUUUCUUAUUAAAAAAAAAAAAGUUAUUUUUUCUUACUUACAUUUAUGGUUGUGUUCAGAUCUAGGAAAACAUGCCAACACAAGCUUUGCUUAGACGUUUCUCAAGAACACCACCAUUCAAUUUAUAGUUAUGUAUUUAAUUUUUUUUAAUUUACUGUAAUUAUUAUGUAAUAUCCAUUAUAGUCAAAUAUAUGUAUCUGAAUUGAAUAAAUAUCCUCACACCUACAA